UCCACGCCGUAAACGAUGUCUACUUGGAGGUUGUGGCCUUGAGCCGUGGCUUUCGGAGCUAACGCGUUAAGUAGACCGCCUGGGGAGUACGGUCGCAAGAUUAAAACUCAAAUGAAUUGACGGGGGCCCGCACAAGCGGUGGAGCAUGUGGUUUAAUUCGAUGCAACGCGAAGAACCUUACCUACUCUUGACAUCCAGAGAAGCCAGCGGAGACGCAGGCGUGCCUUCGGGAGCUCUGAGACAGGUGCUGCAUGGCUGUCGUCAGCUCGUGUUGUGAAAUGUUGGGUUAAGUCCCGCAACGAGCGCAACCCUUAUCCUUGUUUGCCAGCGAGUAAUGUCGGGAACUCCAGGGAGACUGCCGGUGAUAAACCGGAGGAAGGUGGGGACGACGUCAAGUCAUCAUGGCCCUUACGAGUAGGGCUACACACGUGCUACAAUGGCGCAUACAGAGGGCAGCGAACUUGCGAGAGUGAGCGAAUCCCAAAAAGUGCGUCGUAGUCCGGAUUGGAGUCUGCAACUCGACUCCAUGAAGUCGGAAUCGCUAGUAAUCGUAGAUCAGAAUGCUACGGUGAAUACGUUCCCGGGCCUUGUACACACCGCCCGUCACACCAUGGGAGUGGGCUGCAAAAGAAGUGGGUAGUUUAACCUUUCGGGGAGGACGCUCACCACUUUGUGGUUCAUGACUGGGGUGAAGUCGUAACAAGGUAGCCCUAGGGGAACCUGGGGCUGGAUCACCUCCUUAUACGAAGAUA
Molecule: ribosomal RNA, 752 nt
Filed under: Vibrio sp. HI00D65
Lineage: Bacteria; Pseudomonadati; Pseudomonadota; Gammaproteobacteria; Vibrionales; Vibrionaceae
Description: bacterial SSU rRNA
Rfam family: Bacterial small subunit ribosomal RNA
Source: RNAcentral